GGAGUUUGGGCCGUGUCUCAGUCCCAAUGUGGCCGGUCACCCUCUCAGGUCGGCUACGGAUCAUCACCUUGGUGGGCCGUUACCUCACCAACCAGUUAAUCCGACGCGGGCCCAUCCUCCACCGAUAAAUCUUUCCGCCCAGGAUCAUGCGACCCCGUGCGCAUAUGCGGUAUUAACAGUCGUUUCCAACUGUUAUCCCCCUGUGAAGGGGCAGGUUACCCACGCGUUCCUCACCCAUCCCGCCGCUAAGUACAGACUAAAAGCAAGCUUUCUGUCUGUCUCCGCUCGACUUGCAUGUGUUAGGCACGCCGCCAGCGUUCAUC
RNAcentral lists this ribosomal RNA (323 nucleotides) under uncultured Butyrivibrio sp. RNAcentral's name for it is "partial 16S ribosomal RNA". Lineage: Bacteria; Bacillati; Bacillota; Clostridia; Lachnospirales; Lachnospiraceae. The record is from RNAcentral.